This 25-nucleotide unclassified non-coding RNA is filed under the name Mus musculus (house mouse). Its description in RNAcentral is "oocyte_clustered_small_RNA5563". Lineage: Eukaryota; Metazoa; Chordata; Mammalia; Rodentia; Muridae. The record is from RNAcentral.
UGUGUGCCAUUUUCGCUCCGAAGGG